UUGGAUAUUUUAGUCUUACUAUAUUUUAUUAAUGUGCAUACAGUUAAUUUGUUAGGAUUUAGUUAAUUUUUGGACAUUUUUGUUAAAAGUUGUGGGGAUAUUAUGUUUAGGACAGUUUAAUAAUAGCAAAUUUAAAAAAAAAUAAAUAAAUUCAGAAUCAGCUUUAAUGGCCAAAAACGUACACAACAGGUUUCGGCUGUUGGUGUCACUCUAGGAAUAAGUAAAAAGAGAAUAAUACAAUGACUAUAGAAAGAAGAAAAGUGAUUGUAAAAGAAAAACUAAAUAUAUGCAUAUGUUUACACAUCUAGAAAAGAACAUAUGUACACAGUAUUGCAAAAUGACAAUUGUAGAGUGAGAAAACAGUGCAAAAAGCAGAGAACAGAUAAUGUACAUAUCCACUGGUAUAUUGUACAGGUGUGGAGGAAUGACUCAGCUGUUUAUUGGAGUGAUGGCAGUGAGGAAGAAGCUGUUCUUAUGUCUGGAGGUUUUAGUGUUCGUGGCUCUGUAGCGCCUGCUGGAGGUGAAGGGGGAGAACAGUUUUUAUCCAGGGUUGUGGGGUCUCUGAUGAUGUUCCCUCUUCCUGGUUCUAGUGGAGAACAGUUCCAGGCUCCAAUGAUGUUCUAUGCAGUCUGUUUCUGUCCUGCUGUGGCUGAUCCAGAUGUGCACAGGACAGAUUGGAUGACAGCCGUGUAGAACUGGAUCAGCAGCUCCUGUUGCAGUAAAAACGUCCUCUGCUGAACCUUUUUCAGGAUGGAGCGGAUGUUCGUCUCCCACUUCAGGUCCUGAGGGAUUGUAGUCCCCAGGAGCUUGGAGGACGCCACAACAGGGCUGUUGCUAAUAGUGACGAGGCUGUCUCCUGAAGUCCUCUAUCAUCUCCAAGUUGUUCUGGCUGCAGCAGAUCAUCAGACGCUCAACUUCCUGCCGAUAUGCAGACUGGUCACCGUCCUGGAUCAGGCCAGUGACAGUUGUGUCGUCUGCAAACUUCAGGCGUUUAACUGCUGGGUGCUUGGAGGUGCAGUCGUUGGAGGGAGAAGAGAUGUGGAGACAGGAUACACCUCUGGGGGGCGCCGUGCUGACAGUCCAGGUGGUUGAGGUGACGUCUCCCAGCCUCAGGCACAUGGAUGGAGACACAUUGAGGUUGGUGGAGAGGAUUUCAGGGAUGAUGUUGCUGAAUGUCGAGGUAAAAUCCAUAAACGGGAUCCUCCAAUAACUCCCAGGGUCAUCUAGAUGUUGCAGGAUGUAGUGCUGCCUCAGACUGUCUGCAUCAUCUAACGACCUGUUGGCCAAAAAAAAAGUUGCCACCUGGAUUUGGUAAGCAAAUAGGUUUCCCAGAGACUAUGGGUUGAGGAGGAAUUGGAAGUUUGUCGGCUUAGACCUGGUGUCAUUCCAUCAGUGUUUAACUUCCCGGCUCAUCUUGGAAGAGUACGUACGAGAAAGACCAUGACCAAGCAGCCUUGAGAUCUUAGACAGCGUCUCCCUCAGGUGGAUGUCAACGGUGUUCACGGUCAGGUCUGUGGUAAUCCUGUCAAAAAACAAAACAGAAAAAAAUCUAGAUUAUAAAUCAACAUGUAACCAAAGCACUCUGUGUAUAACGCCAUAGUAUAGGAUGUAGUUCAGAAAAUGUCAAAGUAUAGUAUACUUUACUCAAGAAUAACAUAGUAUGGCCUGUAGUUCAUAGUAUAGCAUGUCGGCAAAAAAAACCCAUAGAUUAUUAUGUGGUUCAAAAAGCGCAAAAUGAUAGGAUGUUGCCUAAAAUUGUCAUGUAUGAUAUGUGGUUCAAAAAAUGUCAUAGUGCAAUAUAUUGUCAAAAUAGUAUGUUAUUCAAGAAAACACCAGAGUAUAAUAUGUCGUCUAAAAAAUGCCAUAGAAUAAUAUUUCAUUGCACAAGUAAAAGUAUAGUAAGUUUUAAAACUGUUCAAAUUCUUAUGUUUGCUAAAAAACAACAAAAAAAAAACUGAAACAAAACAAACAUCACAGUAAUAUGUCAAUUAAAAAAGCCUAUAGUAUAGCAUGUCGCCCAACAAACAUCAUAGUAUAGGAUGUUGCUCUAAAAACGUCAGAGUAUAGCCUUUAGUCCACAGCUGUCAGUAGGUGAGGAGCAACACAAAAACAGUCCAAACGCUGGUUUCCAGAGGGUUAGACGAGAAUUUAUUUGAAAGAGUAAGUUUACAACAACACAACAUGUGAGGGGUUUAAAAACAAAUGGGUGUUAGUAAAAUAAAAAUAAAUAAACAGAAGUAAAAGUGAACUUCGUGUUGACAUUGAUGGGCAUUCCAACCAGGAACAAAGUAAAAGAUAAUCAAUACGAAAAAAAACUCUUCCUGUUCACCUCUUCAAGCCCAAAAACACACCACAGUAGCACCCUAAACUAAAACUACCUAUGGGUUUCCUGUUUUCCUUUCUGAACAAUUCAAAGGUCCCUCUCUAUCUCCCCACACAUCCACCAACCACUGGAACACAUCUCCAAAGUUCUGCCUGACCAGCUCAGCUUCCCCUCAGAAGAAGUUCCACCAGAUGAAGGAGCCUUUUGAGAGGCAGCUGGCAUCGUGAUUGGACUGUACUUUGGUCUGUUCCAAUCCAGCUUCAGCUCCAGAGACGGCAGGCGGGACGAGUCAACGGAGGCCUGGUGGACGAAGGCAUGAAGCUGAGUACAAUCCAGAAAACAAUAGAGGAGGAGUGCAUCAGCCCAGGGCCAGAACAAACAGAGUAGCAUCAUAUGUCUCUUAGAAAACAUCAUAGUAUAGCCUUUGGUAUGAAAAAAACGCCAUAAUAUACAUCGUAUGUUGUACAAAUAACAAGUCAAAGGAAAGAGACAACAACUGUAGAAUUGUAGUAAUUGUGGGCUGACUGAUUUACUGAUUAUCAGUAUUUUAUUUUUUACUGAUUUACUGUAAUAAAUACAUGUAAAAAUGGC
Amphiprion ocellaris (clown anemonefish) is the source of this 2914-nucleotide long non-coding RNA. RefSeq lists it as uncharacterized. The transcript is spliced from 2 exons. The record is from RefSeq and is a predicted model, not a curated record. NCBI's taxonomy places the organism in Eukaryota, Metazoa, Chordata, Actinopteri, Pomacentridae.